Long non-coding RNA from Paramacrobiotus metropolitanus, 1314 nucleotides. RefSeq lists it as uncharacterized. The record is from RefSeq and is a predicted model, not a curated record. The transcript is spliced from 3 exons. NCBI's taxonomy places the organism in Eukaryota, Metazoa, Tardigrada, Eutardigrada, Parachela, Macrobiotidae.
CUUACGAGUGAUGAAAUUCUGCAGUAGAGUCUUACCUUAGAGUGUGCAACGUACGAAUGCUUAUGUAUAAGCUACGGUAGUUUAAUGUUUCAUUGCAAGGAUAAAAGUCGUAUUCCCGUCAUAUUUGUUUCAAUUACUGCCUGCAGAAUGUUAAAAACUAUUUUUAGCAUGGAAUUUGUGAUUUUACUCGGACUGUCAUCAAUGCUCUGCGCCGUUGGGCAAGAUCCUGCUGCGCUACCAGGCAGUAAGCCAAUCGGAUAUCCUGUGAACCCCUGUGCACUAGUCCUGUGCGCUCCAUGCCCGCCACCGAUAGCGACUGCUGGAUCGCCGCUAAAUGCGGCAGUGGCUCGUCCUUAUCCUCCAACAGACAUCUCCAAGUGCUGCCAGUGUCCUAUUGGAUGAUUAGUGGAAAAACAAAAACAAAAGAUUAGUUGCCAAAAUGCAACAAGUUAUUACCGAUAUCGGUGCAGUUACAGAUGAGGCUUCUCGUCGAUACAGCAUCAACGGAGUGCGUUUUCUGCUUUCGGCUUUUAAAAUAAUUACACAAAUGCCUAUAAUUUCUAAUGACUUUUUAUAUGUAAUAUAAUACAACAACAAUUUAUUAUUUUUUCAUUUUUAAGCAUGUAUAAAUUCUGUUAUUCCCUUCUCGUACGAUUUUAUCUAAGGUAUAGGAGCCAUCGAAGCAAAAAUCUAAAGAAAGCAAGUUACGCAGGGACAGUACUGAACAGUUCUUAUCGUAUUAUUAUGUGAUAUUUUAUUGUUGUGGUAACCGUUUGCUUGUAAUUAUUAUAAAUGCAAAUUUUUUUACUGGUUGCAACAUGCAGUCAAUUGCUACACAAAGGUCAUCCUCUCAUUUCACCUGCAUGUAUGACUCAUCAGCAUUUGCCUAUAUGACAUCAUUCGUAUAAGGGCAUCAUCUGAGCUUCGGUAUUUGUAAAAAAUCUUUUGUCGAAAAUACAAAGCCUCCUCCUGACCUUACAGAAUUCAAUAUUUCAAAGCUGUCUCCGUCUGAGGUUUUGGAUUGUAUCGCGAGAAUUGAUUGUGACUUCCUCUUUUUGAUUAUAUUCGGCACCAUGCAAACGAGACAUGAAUCAUCGAUGCAGUCAUAGACCGUGGGCAAUAAAGCUACCGUACUUUAUUCCGUAGCUGGUAUCAUGGUACAUUGUACCGCGAACAUUUUUGCAAGCGCCUAAAACAAAAAAUAAUAAACCACAACUGUGUAUACGCUUUAAGCUGCCAUUUUUUGAAAUAAGUUUUUCCUCAAGCUUUUUUGAAAUUGGGUGUCCCAUAAAUUUUUUGUUUAAUGAUCGACUU